UAUAUAAGUAAUCUCUUUAAAAGCCCUUUUCUUAAUUUUGAUAUUUCAAUUGUUUAGUAGAUAACUCCCUUAUUUGUUAUCCUUGUGUGGGAUUGGCAUAGUUAAGGAUAUCAAAUUAGGGAGCUAUUGACUAAACACAUACACGUGUGUGUGUGUGUGUGUGUAUAUGUAUGCACACAUAACCACAGAUACACACAAUCACAGACCUAUAUACACAUAAUCACCGACACACAUAUACAAUUACAGACCUAUACGCACAAAUACAAACACACAAAAUAAGUCACAUACAUACACACAAUCACAAUUGUACACACACAGACCCCACACACAAUCACAUGAGUACACCAACAAUCAAUCACAGACCACCAUACACAUAGAUAUACACAUUUUAUACUAAAGAGGUAUACCCAGCCUCCCUAACUUGCUCUGGGAGCGCUAGAGUGGAUCCUCUUCCUGGUGGCCAGUGCUUGCUGCUGGGAUGGAGCCUGGGACCUAUGUGCUCUACAUGCACAGGUCCCUCGAUGCCCAGCAGUGAUGCCGGGAUGAUGUCCUAUCCUGGCGGACAGGUCACUGUCAGGCGAUGAGGAAGCUGUGCAAGAGGAGCACAGAAUGUAAUGGGCUCAGGGGCAUACCUAGAGCUUUUGUAUUCUAAUUUUUAUUUUUUAUUGCCUACUAAAACAGUAAUCGGCAAUAAAAAAAAAACUUCUAUCCCCCUCCCCCCCCUUCUACAAAACACGUGCCACUCUACAAAAAAUCCUGCCCAGUCCCACUUCUACAACCUCUCCACCGUCUGCAGAACCCCUGCUCAGUCCUCCCUUCUGCAAAACCCCUGCUCAGUCCUCCCUUCUGCAAAACCCCUGCUCAGUCCUCCUUUCUGCAAAACCCCUGCUCAGUCCUCCCUUCUACAAAACUCCUGCCCAGCCACUCCUGUCUACAAAACUCCUGUCCAGCCACUCCUGUCUACAAAACCUCUGCCCAGCCACUCCUGUCUACAAAACCCCUGCCCAGCCACUCCUGUCUACAAAACCCCUGCCCAGCCACUCCUGUCUACAAAACCCCUGCCCAGCCACUCCUGUCUACAAAACCCCUGCCCAGUCACUCCCUUCUACAACACCCCUGCCCAGUCACUCCCGUCUACAAAACCCCUGCCCAGUCACUCCCUUCUACAACACCCCUGCCCAGUCACUCCCGUCUACAAAACCCCUGCCCAGGCCUCUACAAGACCUUUGAUCACUCCCUACAAAUCCCCUUUCACAAAAACUCCUGCUUCCCCUGUACAAAGACCCCUAUCCACCUACAAAACCCAUUUACAAAAAAAACCUCUCCCUCUCAAGACCCUUGCACAAAAAAGAAUUAAAAAAACACAAUAAUAGCAAGCAUUUACCCUGCUCCUCCGCCUGUUUGCUGCUCCCUGGUGAUCCGGACUCCAGACUCUCCCGCCGCCGUGGCGCCUGCACAGACUGUCAGAGUGCUUUUGCUCAGAACACCGUGAGGGCGGAGCAUGUGGACAGCGCGUUAUUGUGCACCUCCGCAUUCCUCCUCCUCCUGCUGCUCCCUACACCACUGAAUGGGCUCCCUGCCUCAUUCUCUGCCCAGCAGUGCGGACGGCAACCGGGUCGCAUGCAGGCCGCGGGUUAGACACCCAUUCUCUAUAGUGUUCCUUUAAUUAUGCAUUAUUUUUCUCAUUGAGCUAUAUCUUAAAAACAGCUUACAAAAGCAGCAAAUCUCUUGUUGAAAGCCUUUGUAAGUCUUUCCUUUUAACCCAGCUUAGACUUGCAUCGGCUGUCCCAUUACAGACUUCCAAUUACAGACUUUAAAUUUUUUUAUAAUUCAAUAAGUGCAGAAAAACAGGAGAAGAGAUUUUAAAAAUAUGAUGGACAUUGGGCAAGAUGGACAGAUAUGGGACAGAAUGGGCUAAAGGCUAAGAUUCUAGCUAGAGUAUGACCAAACCUUUAUAGCUAAUGUUCAGGAUUCCCAAGUAUGUGUCUUAACUAUGGUUAAUUCAUACAUUAAAAAUUAUCACUUUUGGAUCUAAAGCUUAAAGAAAAAAACCUUUUCAAUCUGUUUCAACAACUUUUUGGGCAGAUAACAAAACUCACUGCACACGUACACUAGGAUUUGAUUACACAGGUGUCUCUUAUGUGUUCUUUCAGUGCUUGGCAUAUGCUAAUGGGCUAUGAGUACCAUUGGCUGAUAGUUAAAAUUGUAGCAUAUAAAACUGUUUACUAGAAUGAAAUUAUCAUAGUUAACC
Molecule: non-coding RNA, 2251 nt
Organism: Pelobates cultripes (western spadefoot toad)
Lineage: Eukaryota; Metazoa; Chordata; Amphibia; Anura; Pelobatidae
Source: the annotation of a GenBank genome assembly